Long non-coding RNA from Pieris rapae (cabbage white), 604 nucleotides. RefSeq lists it as uncharacterized. The transcript is spliced from 3 exons. NCBI's taxonomy places the organism in Eukaryota, Metazoa, Arthropoda, Insecta, Lepidoptera, Pieridae. The record is from RefSeq and is a predicted model, not a curated record.
ACUACACCUGCACAGUUCGGAAUCGUUGGGGUGAAGAUCACGGUACUUGGGAGUUGAUGGCAUUGGCUCCACCAUCCCCAACACGUCUUACCCUUUCAAGCGCAUCACCAACCGCUCUACUUCUUGCGUGGGACUCUUCUGGAGCUCAUAGUUAUAGCUUAGAAUACGCGCGAGGCGAAGCUCCAUGGCAGUAUCGUUGGGUUUGGGGCGAAGCACGAAGUACGUCACUUCGUGGACUGGCUUGUGGAGCCUCCUACCGAGUGAGACUGCGAGCUAUGGGAGAUGCUGGAGCGGCAGUAAGUGACGUACUACGUACUGCAACACCUGGUGGAUUAUCAAAAGCAGCACUUGAGAAACAGCUGAUCAGCACAAAUAGCACCUGUGUUAAGUUGAACAUGCUGACCUGGGACUGUAACGGCUGUCCGCUGAUUCAUUUCAUUAUAUCCAUCCGAGGGUUUGAGGAGUUUUCCUGGAAGUCAGAGAGCGUAGAAUUGGAGGCUAGUCCAGUAACUUUCUGUACUCUUCGACCAGCUACCUGGUACCAUUUGAGGAUCGUUGCAACUACCACAGCUGGAGUCACUACAGCAACUUAUUACUUCGCUAC